GUUUUAAGCUCAUCGGCCUUCCACGAAAAUAGGAGUACUCCGGCUGCAGACGCAAACCCAAACCAAGCGAAAAAUAUCCACUGAAUCUCUCUCGCUGCUCGCGGCCGCGGCGACCGGACUAAGGAAGGAAUCGAAGGCGACGAUGGCGUGCCGAGCCCUCGCGCUCCGCUCCUUGCUGCUCCCCGACCCCCUCCACCACUUGAGUCUCCGCGCCGCCGCGUCGGCCCAGGCGGCGCCGUUUCCUUGUCGCCGCCGCCGCCGCAACAUCCGCUGCUGCUCCAGCUCCAGUGGGGGCGGGCCCGGGGAGCAGGGACAGCCGCCGCAGGAGGCCGUGCUCGAGGCCAUAUCAAAGGUGGCAAAGUCUAAAGGAAGGGUUGCACUCACAACAAAUAUGGUCAUAGGUGGCACUGUUACAGAUGAUUCAAGUGAUGAAUGGCUUGUUCUGGAUCAGAAGGUGAAUACAUAUCCCACAGACAGAGGAUUUACAGCAAUUGGUACUGGAGGUGAAGAUUUUGUCCAUUCUAUGGUUGAUGCUGUUGAAUCGGUUCUUCAAGAAUCGAUUCCAAAGGGCCAAGUAAGUCAGAAAAUAUCUUCCAGGGGAAAAUAUGUUUCUGUAAAAAUUGGGCCAAUACGUGUGGCUUCAAGUGAGCAGGUCCAGGCUGUAUACCGUGCCAUGAGAAGAGAUAACAGGAUGAAAUACUUCUUAUGAACUGCAAUUACUCAUUCCUGUUUAGUUCCUUCCAUCUUGUAACACCGGCGUCCUGUUAUAUGUUUUGCUGUACUUGUAAGUGCUGUCUCAAAUGGAAAUAUUGUGUUUGGUUUUCCGGUUCAUCGGCUCCAUGCGACAUAAAGAUCCCCCCUGCAGGCUGGAGCUUUUGUGAACUGAUGAGGAAGAACAUUGUGUGUUACUUUGGCCCAAAUAGAAAUUGCUCCAUUUUUCAGACAGGCACUACAAUGUAACAGCACGGUUUUCAUUACACUAUAGCGAACAUGUUUACAUAACGUUUAAAGAUGCUUGUAGUUUUGGGAUUUGUGGAAACGUCUAUGAAAUCUGUAUACAUUUCAGUUUAAUGCUCCAAAAUUGCCGAUGCAAGUCUUGAGUCCUGCUGCC
RNAcentral lists this ribosomal RNA (1111 nucleotides) under Triticum aestivum (bread wheat). RNAcentral's name for it is "partial small subunit ribosomal RNA". Lineage: Eukaryota; Viridiplantae; Streptophyta; Magnoliopsida; Poales; Poaceae. The record is from RNAcentral.